CUUCGGAAGAAUUGAAUAAUGGAAAGCGGCGGACGGGUGAGUAACGCGUGGGCAACCUGCCUUUCACAGAGGGAUAGCCAAAGGAAACUUUGAUUAAAACCUCAUAAAGCCGAAAUGUUGCAUAGCAAGACGGCCAAAGAUUUAUCGGUGAAAGAUGGGCCCGCGUCUGAUUAGUUAGUUGGUGGGGUAACGGCUCACCAAGGCGACGAUCAGUAGCCGACCUGAGAGGGUGAUCGGCCACAUUGGAACUGAGACACGGUCCAAACUCCUACGGGAGGCAGCAGUGGGGAAUAUUGCACAAUGGGCGCAAGCCUGAUGCAGCAACGCCGCGUGAACGAAGAAGGCCUUCGGGUCGUAAAGUUCUGUCCAUAGGGAAGAAACAAAUGACGGUACCUGUGGAGGAAGCCCCGGCUAAAUACGUGCCAGCAGCCGCGGUAAUACGUAUGGGGCAAGCGUUAUCCGGAAUUAUUGGGCGUAAAGAG
Molecule: ribosomal RNA, 482 nt
Filed under: uncultured bacterium
Lineage: Bacteria
Description: bacterial SSU rRNA
Rfam family: Bacterial small subunit ribosomal RNA
Source: RNAcentral